RNAcentral lists this transfer RNA (85 nucleotides) under Felis catus (domestic cat). It matches the Rfam family "tRNA". Rfam says of the family: Transfer RNA (tRNA) molecules are approximately 80 nucleotides in length. Their secondary structure includes four short double-helical elements and three loops (D, anti-codon, and T loops). Lineage: Eukaryota; Metazoa; Chordata; Mammalia; Carnivora; Felidae. The record is from Rfam by way of RNAcentral.
ACCUGGGUGGCUCAGUUGGUUGAGCAUCUGACUUCAGCUCAGGUCAUGAUCUUGUGGUUUGUGGGUUCAAGCCCUACAUCGGGCU